Molecule: long non-coding RNA, 170 nt
Filed under: Ictidomys tridecemlineatus (thirteen-lined ground squirrel)
Lineage: Eukaryota; Metazoa; Chordata; Mammalia; Rodentia; Sciuridae
Description: lncRNA (ENSSTOG00000034674.1)
Source: RNAcentral
CUGGGACCUGCAAUUGCUCUUGGCCUCCUCUUGCCGUCUGGCUGCACUGAGCAGCUGUGUGGACCAUGUAGAGGAGGAGUCCUCCUGCACCUCUCAGAUGCCAGGAAAGAUGCCAGGAGUAGGGCAGGUCCUGUGUGACAGACAUGUGUGAAUGUCCAGUGCACAAAAAC